GACGAACGCUGGCGGCGUGCUUAACACAUGCAAGUCGAACGGAAAGGCCCUGCUUUUGUGGGGUGCUCGAGUGGCGAACGGGUGAGUAACACGUGAGUAACCUGCCCUUGACUUUGGGAUAACUUCAGGAAACUGGGGCUAAUACCGGAUAGGAGCUCCUGCUGCAUGGUGGGGGUUGGAAAGUUUCGGCGGUUGGGGAUGGACUCGCGGCUUAUCAGCUUGUUGGUGGGGUAGUGGCUUACCAAGGCUUUGACGGGUAGCCGGCCUGGGAGGGUGACCGGCCACAUUGGGACUGAGAUACGGCGCAGACUGGUACGGGAGGCAACGGUGGGGAAUAUUACACAGUGAGCGGAAGCCUGAUGCGGCGACGCCGCGUGCGGGAUGACGGCCUGCGGGUUGUGAACCGCUUUCGCCUGAGACGAAGCGUGAGUGACGGUAAUGGGUAAAGAAGCACCGGCUAACUACGUG
RNAcentral lists this ribosomal RNA (468 nucleotides) under uncultured bacterium. Its description in RNAcentral is "partial 16S ribosomal RNA". It matches the Rfam family "Bacterial small subunit ribosomal RNA", at positions 28 to 507 of the family's 1533-position model. The record is from RNAcentral.